RNAcentral lists this ribosomal RNA (461 nucleotides) under Triticum aestivum (bread wheat). RNAcentral's name for it is "partial small subunit ribosomal RNA". Lineage: Eukaryota; Viridiplantae; Streptophyta; Magnoliopsida; Poales; Poaceae. The record is from RNAcentral.
AGUUGCACUUUGCUCCGUCCCUCCGUUCGCACUACUAGUGGAGUGGAGUGCAUUGGGGAAAGGCGACAGGGGCAAAGGGAAAGUGCGGAAGCCGACGGAGCGGAUCCUCCACGGCGGGCGAGGCGGCGGCACCGCCCGCCGGAGAAUACCUCCACAGCAGCCCAUCCGGCACCGCAUCGCCGUCUCCUUCCCCAUCCGCAAGGCAAGAUUCUGAAACUCAUCUCCCCAGCAAUCAGCCAAACCUGGAGCUUCACUGGGACAAAAUAAUGACCAUUGCUCAUUUUUUUGCACCCUUUCCAUGAAUAAAUCAGGAAUCCAGAGAGCGUAGAAAAGAUCCCUGGCACGAUUCUCCUCCUGUAAAUUACACAUAAUGAGGGUGAGAUGGGGUAAGUAUAAGGUCAUAGCGUGACGGUCGUGAUCAAAUGCUGAAAAAUUAAAUCCAAACUGGUAAUAAGUUUCUA